Ziziphus jujuba (common jujube) is the source of this 1436-nucleotide RNA transcript. It is a transcript of the gene named protein FLX-like 3, with no coding region annotated. The transcript has 6 exons. Lineage: Eukaryota; Viridiplantae; Streptophyta; Magnoliopsida; Rosales; Rhamnaceae. The record is from RefSeq and is a predicted model, not a curated record.
GACCAGCCAUUACCAAAUAACCAAAGCGAAGCAGCCAAACAUCUGAAGAAAAUAGGGGGUCUGAUUUUGGUGUGGCUGACAAGCAAGCAAGCAAAGGAAGAGGUUUUUCCUCUCCAUAAAUUCGAUUCAAUAAUCGAAUUCCCUUUUAUCUUAAAAAAGGGUAAAUUUAAGAUGGCAGGAAGAAACCGCAUGCCCCGUGAAGCCAUGAAUGAUAGACGUGGCUAUGCUCUUGAAGCACCUUUUGUUCGGGGUCAUCCUUUACCGCGAGCACUUCCCCAUCCUGCACUUUUGGAAGAAGAACUUGAGAUGCAGCACGCUGAGAUCCAGAGGUUGUUGAGUGAUAACCGGAGGCUUGUUGAAGAUCGCAUUGCUUUGCAGCGUGAGCUUGGUGCUGCAAAGGAGGAACUUCACCGUAUGAAUAUUGUCAUCGCAGAUAUCCGAGCAGAAGAAGAAUUGCGAUCAAGGGAGCUUUUUGAGAAAGGCAGGAAGUUGGAGGCUGAUCUUCGUGCAACCGAGCCAUUGAAAAAUGAGGCUAUACAACUUCGUGGAGAAGUUAAGAAGCUAAACAACCUCAGGCAGGAGCUUUCUGCACAAGUUCAGACUCUUACACAAGAACUUACCAGAUUGCAAGCUGAUAAUCAACAGAUUCCUCAUAUAAGGGCAGAAAUUGAGGGUCUCCACCAGGAGCUUAUGCAUGCUAGAACAGCAGUUGAUUAUGAAAAGAAAGCAAACAUUGAGCAAAUGGAGCAGAGACAGGCAAUGGAGAAAAACCUAGUUUCUAUGGCCCGUGAAGUUGAGAAACUACGUGCAGAACUUGCUAGUAUUGAUGGUAGACCAUGGGCUGCUGGUGGAUCAUAUGGGAUGAAAUUCAGCAGUGCAGAUGGGGGCUUUCCUGCAUCAUAUGGAGAUGGAUAUGGGGUUCAUUUGGGUGUUGCUGACAAAGGACCUUUGUAUGGUCCUGGUCCAAAUUCAUGGGGAGGACUGGAGAAGCCUCGUAUGACGCGUCGUUAAGAUCUUGAUGAUUGUUGCUCAGAUUGAGACAGUUUGGUUGCUUCAACUUCAAGCAUAACUGCGCGACAAGUGCUAGGUUCAUCUAUGUGUGCAUGCCACGUAUUAUCUGAGUACAUUGCAACCCUAUGAUGGAUGGGAAAAUUAUUUUGCCUGGUUGUGGUAAUCGAUGGAUAAAUUGAUCCAUGGAGCCUCUUUUAUGGGAUUAUACUUCUCCAAAAGUAAAAUCUUGAUCUUAUACUCUUCUAGCAUGUCAAGCAAUCUAGCAAAGAUGAACAACCCACUUUGCCAUUUCCUUUACCUUCUGAAGCUAUAGUCGAUAUCUUCGGCUGAAAAAGUUACUUUUUCCUCUUAUCAUAAAAUUGGCUAAUUUCAAUUUUAUAGCCAGUGGCGUUGGAACUCUCAACUCAUCAACAUUUUUGACUUUA